Molecule: non-coding RNA, 45 nt
Filed under: Schistosoma haematobium
Lineage: Eukaryota; Metazoa; Platyhelminthes; Trematoda; Strigeidida; Schistosomatidae
Source: RNAcentral
AUCCAGCUGAAGAGUCCCAAAUAUUACGACACGCGCGUCCUGGAU